GAUGGCGCAAACAGAUCUGGGACUAGGCUAAAUGACAACAUGGCUUUUGGUUAACACAACAUUCAUGUGCCAAGGCUCUAGGCAACUUCCUGGAGGACCCGCAUACAGUGGUUAACAAGAUGUAAUUGCAAGCUAUAAGUGGUUGAUUGGGAAAGGAGACUAGUCCUAUCUAUUUUUCUAUGGUCUUUCUUAAUUCACUCUUUUGUUGAAAAGGCUUUUGACAAUAGAUGUUAUUAAUAGAUGUCUGUGAUUUUAUUAAAUUGAUAUCUGUCUGCUUUUUAUGUUUCUGGGCUGUGAGCGGUCACGUUUUCAUAGAAAUCUAUUUCCCAAACAUAUUUUAAUUUAUGCAUUCUUUGCAUUUGUAUGGCUGUCUGCUCUGCAGUUGGACCUUUAAUUUUAAUGUUGUAAUUCUAUUUGUAUUUUAUUUGUUAUAUUAUAUAUUUUCCCUGGAUUAUAUCCAUAUGAUCAGAUAAUAUUUUAUGGUUUCUAGAUGUAAGAUAUACUUUCUGCUUUUAAUGCUUUUGUUUUUACUUUAUUUGUGUCUUAUCCAAAAUGCAAGCAGAACAAAUAGCUACCGUGACCAACAGCUAGAAAUGGGUCUUUACUGAUAAAGGUGUGGAUUGUACAAAGACUAGUAGCUAGAGAACUGUUAGACCUAAAAUGUUCAUCUGAACUUAAUGAAUCUGUUGCGUGAGACCGAGGACCAGGAUUCUGUUUUUGUUUAAUCUGGAUCAAGUCAACUCUGACUCAUAAGAACUGUCUAUGCUUUAUUUGUCUUAACUUGCCUCUUAUUAAAAGGUGUUGUGUACAUUACAUGUAAAAUAUCUUCUGGCAUUGUGGGUAUUGCACUUUAACCUUGUUAACAUUUUAUUUACCACUGGAUGCCUUGUUUUUCUUUAGGAAUAAGGAAUUGACAUUGUAUAUCUAGAAUCCUUUAUAUUUAAAACGUUUCCAGGGAAUGUUCCGAUUCAGUACUACCGACAUAAUAACCGACUAUGUUUUGUAACAUCAAGGUUUCUCUUUAUCUUGUGUUAUUGAAAAAAUCAUUUCGAAACACAGUCGACUAAUAUUCUUUCAAAUAAAAUGUACCUGUGUUCAAGGCUCUCUUGUACUG
Molecule: long non-coding RNA, 1114 nt
Organism: Oncorhynchus tshawytscha (Chinook salmon)
Lineage: Eukaryota; Metazoa; Chordata; Actinopteri; Salmoniformes; Salmonidae
Source: Ensembl